UACGUAGGGGGCGAGCGUGGUCCGAAGUUACUGGGCGUAAAGCGCGCGUAGGCGGUCAUUUAAGUCUGAGGUGAAAGGUUCAGGGCUCAACGUGAACAGUGCCUUGGAUACUGGGUGACUUGAGUUCGGGAGGGGGCAGUGGAAUUCCAGGUGUAGCGGUGAAAUGCGUAGAUAUCUGGAGGAACACCGAUGGCGAAGGCAGCUGCCUGGCCCAGAACUGACGCUGAGGUGCGAAAGCGUGGGGAGCGAACGGG
This 254-nucleotide ribosomal RNA is filed under the name uncultured bacterium. RNAcentral describes it as "partial 16S ribosomal RNA". It matches the Rfam family "Bacterial small subunit ribosomal RNA", at positions 524 to 776 of the family's 1533-position model. The record is from RNAcentral.